GACGGAGGAUGCAAGUGUUAUCCGGAAUCACUGGGCGUAAAGCGUCUGUAGGUGGUUUAAUAAGUCAACUGUUAAAUCUUGAGGCUCAACCUCAAAAUCGCAGUCGAAACUGUUAGGCUAGAGUAUAGUAGGGGUAAAGGGAAUUUCCAGUGGAGCGGUGAAAUGCGUAGAGAUUGGAAAGAACACCGAUGGCGAAGGCACUUUACUGGGCUAUUACUAACACUCAGAGACGAAAGCUAGGGUAGCAAAUGGG
Molecule: ribosomal RNA, 253 nt
Filed under: uncultured bacterium
Lineage: Bacteria
Description: partial 16S ribosomal RNA
Rfam family: Bacterial small subunit ribosomal RNA
Source: RNAcentral